RNAcentral lists this long non-coding RNA (385 nucleotides) under Amborella trichopoda. Its description in RNAcentral is "long non-coding RNA (ATRI_LNC000042)". Lineage: Eukaryota; Viridiplantae; Streptophyta; Magnoliopsida; Amborellales; Amborellaceae. The record is from RNAcentral.
GCAUAUCUCUUACCCUUUCUCUCUAGAAAAACCUUGUUCAAUGUAAUUCUCUCUCUAAAAUACCUUGAUGCUUCGCUGCAAUCCUCUGUGUCUAAAAAACCUUCAUAUGCGAUCCCUCCCUCAAAACUGUAAUUUCCCUGUUCUGCAAUUCUUUCACAUAACCUCUCACACUCUCUCACUAAAACCCUACAAAAGCUUAAAAAAAAACCAGAGUCUCUCUCUCUCUCUCUCUUUGCUGCAAAACACUUACCAAUUACAUAUCCACAUUGAAAAUCCUUCUCUCUCUAAAUCCUGCAUCUCUCUCCUUCUAAAUGUAAAUGUGUAAGCUCAAUCUCUUUCUGUAUCCAUCUGUAUUGCCUAUCCAUAGAUAGUUCAUGAAGUCAAC